Long non-coding RNA from Pyrus x bretschneideri (Chinese white pear), 526 nucleotides. RefSeq lists it as uncharacterized. The transcript is spliced from 3 exons. NCBI's taxonomy places the organism in Eukaryota, Viridiplantae, Streptophyta, Magnoliopsida, Rosales, Rosaceae. The record is from RefSeq and is a predicted model, not a curated record.
GUGGCAUAACUAGCAGUCAGCCAACGUGCACCCGUCCUACUUCUCAUCCGCCGUUUGUUUCCCGAGAAAAUCCCCAAAAAAGAAAAUUAAAAAAAAAAAAACCCGAAAAUCACCACACCCCGCUCUCUGUAUGGCGGUCCGGGCCUCCGUGUCGCGGUUUCCGAUCGACGCUGGGGCCCACGAGAGCUCAGGCAUCCCAUGGGGCGUUUCGGUGACGCCGUUCGCGACGAAUGACGAGAACGGCCAGUCGCCGGCAUAAGGAUCGGACGGCCAGCUGUUGCCAAGGUGCGAGAACCGCUGGGCGUAUUUCAACACGUUCUGCGAGCUGGAUCAGUGGUCGUGGAACUGUGCCCUGUGCGGAAACCCUCAGGGGCUUUCGUCUUAGGCCAUUGCUCGAUACUCGCACCCUCAAUCCUGCCCCGAAAUGAUGUCCUCGUUCGUAGAUCUGGAGCUUCCUGUAGUAGAGUCGGAUGAAGUAAUGCAACCUCGCCCGGUUUACGUUGCGGUCAUUGAUUUGUCCUCUUCA